RNAcentral lists this non-coding RNA (29 nucleotides) under Homo sapiens (human). Lineage: Eukaryota; Metazoa; Chordata; Mammalia; Primates; Hominidae. The record is from RNAcentral.
UGCAGGGGCAAUCACAGAGCUGUAACACU